Molecule: ribosomal RNA, 503 nt
Filed under: uncultured bacterium
Lineage: Bacteria
Description: partial 16S ribosomal RNA
Rfam family: Bacterial small subunit ribosomal RNA
Source: RNAcentral
AACGAACGCUAGCGGCAGGCUUAACACAUGCAAGUCGAGCGGGGUGAUGGUGCUUGCACUAUCACUUAGCGGCGGACGGGUGAGUAAUGCUUAGGAAUCUGCCUAUUAGUGGGGGACAACAUCUCGAACGGGAUGCUAAUACCGCAUACGUCCUGCGGGAGAAAGCAGGGGAGUACUUGUGACCUUGCGCUAAUAGCUGAGCCUAAGUCGGAUUAGCUAGUUGGCGGGGUAAAGGCCUACCAAGGCGACGAUCUGUAGCGGGUCUGAGAGGAUGAUCCGCCACACUGGGACUGAGACACGGCCCAGACUCCUACGGGAGGCAGCAGUGGGGAAUAUUGGACGAUGGGGGGAACCCUGAUCCAGCCAUGCCGCGUGUGUGAAGAAGGCCUUAUGGUUGUAAAGCACUUUAAGCGAGGAGGAGGCUCUUUUGGUUAAUACCCAAGAUGAGUGGACGUUACUCGCAGAAUAAGCACCGGCUAACUCUGUGCCAGCCGCCGCAGUAA